RNAcentral lists this ribosomal RNA (133 nucleotides) under uncultured bacterium. RNAcentral's name for it is "partial 16S ribosomal RNA". It matches the Rfam family "Bacterial small subunit ribosomal RNA", at positions 356 to 480 of the family's 1533-position model. The record is from RNAcentral.
GAGGAAUAUUGCGCAAUGGGGGAAACCCUGACGCAGCGACGCCGCGUGGAUGAUGAAGGCUUUCGAGUCGUAAAAUCCUGUCAGAUGGGAAGAAGUGCAUAUCAACUAAUACUUGUUAUGUUUGACGGUACCA